GAUGAACGCUGGCGGCGUGCCUAAUACAUGCAAGUCGAGCGAACAGACGAGGAGCUUGCUCCUCUGACGUUAGCGGCGGACGGGUGAGUAACACGUGGGGAACCUACCUAUAAGACGGGGAUAACUUCGGGAAACCGGAGCUAAUACCGGAUAAAAUAUUGAACCGCAAGGUUCAAGAGUGAAAGACGGUUUUGCUGCAACUGAUAGAUGGAUCCACGCCGCAUUAGCUAGUUGGUAAGGUAACGGCUUACCAGGGCAACGAUCCGUAGCAGACCUGAGAGGUUGUCCGGCCACACUGGAACUGGGCCACGGUCCAGACUCCUACGGGAGGCAGCAGUGGGGAAUCUUCCGCAAUGGGCGAAAGCCUGACGGAGCACCGCCGCGUGAGUGAUGAAGGUCUUCGGAUCGUAAACCUCUUUUAUUGGGGAGGACCGUGUUUGUAAUUAACUACGCACGUCUUGACGUUACCUACUCAGAAAGCCACGGCUAACUACGUG
This 497-nucleotide ribosomal RNA is filed under the name uncultured bacterium. RNAcentral's name for it is "partial 16S ribosomal RNA". It matches the Rfam family "Bacterial small subunit ribosomal RNA", at positions 28 to 507 of the family's 1533-position model. The record is from RNAcentral.